CCGUCACCAGGUGUGUGUUAAGGGAGGAUCGGACACGCGUGUGCCAGGGAGGAUGCUGCCACCACGCUCUUCGAAGAUGUGCGGAGUCGUCGUGCCUGUACGGUUGACACCUCUACCACCGUCGCUGCCUUCGAGGAGGAUUCGUGCCUGCAUCUUAAUGUUCGCCAAGCCCAUUACAUCGCUGGUUCAGGACACACAACAAAACAAAUCUGAACCUCAGCGACAUAUUUGCUGGGAGAGAAGGAGGAUAAAAAGUGCUGGUCCUCUUCACAGGAUAGGUACAGACUUGGCUAAGCGAUUACUGCUGCUGCGGUUCAUCUACAAUGAUUUUGGACAUUGAUUCUUGUUUUACCCUUAUUAUUACCAUUUGCUAACUUAACCAUUUCCAUCUCUCAUGUUAAUUCUGAAGACCUUUUAUGUAUCAUGUAUCCAAGCAGGCUGCAUGUGAGGUGAAUCAAGGGUAUUUUCUGAUUUUUUUAUGUUGCCGCUUACUGAUCUUACGACAUGGAGAGGAGAGGCCAAGUAGCAGCAAGCAUGCAGCUGUGUCAUGCAAACAAACUGAUACUGCAGAAAGUCACUGAUUGUACAAAACCAGAAAAACAAAUUGCAGCGCAAGCAUGCAAAGAGACAAUUGCGCGAAUCAAACACAUAUUCAAAUAAUAAGGCAGUGAGAGGCUUUAUAUUAGGCAGUGUACUGCAACAAGGUGCCUCCCUCCAUCAUCAUUCCAUUCUUCUCCUGUUUCCUAUCUGUCAGCCGCACCUACAACCGGUGCCCAAAUCUAGCUCGACAAUUGACGGCGGCUACAUCUGUUGUGGCCGGCAGCAAGGCAAGCCCUCCUUCUAAACCAUGUAUGUUGAUUUCAAAUAGUAGAACUAAUUCAUACUUUGGAGUUGUUUGUUAAUCAGGCUUCCAUGGACGUUGAUUUCCAUUAAACAAUAUUUUGCGAACUUCUUGUUCUCUGCAAAUUUUGGAUGCCGCCGGUCAGUGUGACGCCCAAAUCCUGGUGGCAAGUCUUUUUCUAAUUGAGAGAAUUAUUUAGGUGCUAAUUCAAACAGCAUGUCUAUAGGAUCCCGGUCUGGAAAACUAGAUGGUGUAUGGAUUCAGAGAUGAACACGACGAACGAUAGAAGGUCGAUUUGGAUUAUUCUUGGUCCAUAACUUUCAAUUAUUCCACUGCCACACAACUGUGCUUGUGCUGGCAGGGAGAGGAGGAGAAGUAAGGCGUUGUGGGCAGGGACUGGCUGUGGGUACAAGAAGGCCAGAUAUGAGAUGGUGGAAAGGAUGCACGCAGGAGAAGAGAACAGACUGCAACGGAAGGCAGUUUGAGAUGUAGUAGUGGACGCCUCUUCCAUGAUAUUCAGCAAUCUGCGUGUUCAGUGAUGCCGCACACGUCCUCUCAUCUCGUCACGAACGGCCUGGAUGUGGCAGCUGCCGUCAACAUCCCAACCGUCACCAGCACGACGUGUUGAAUGACAUUGGCAUCGUCUCACUGGGGCAGCAGCUCAACACCGGCAUUAUUCUGAGAACAAUUGUCACUGAAUUGCUUUCAAGGCGGAUGUUCCAUAGACAAACAAGCAUGCAAUCAACACUGCAUGAUUUCAAUUGGUUUCCAAUCCUGGAAAGAAGGAACGAUAUGAGCUAAAAGAUGCAGAAAGAGAGGAUUAGGCCAGCAGAUUGUUAUCAAGGAGAACAUUGAGCUAUGAGGGUGUUUUUUCGGGCAACACCGGCGAUGGUCUCAGCAGCUAUAUGAUGGUGAACUGUAGCUGUCGUAAUAUUCUGAGAAAUAUAUUAUGAUUAAUUUUUACUUACCUAUCCGAUUUUUUUCAUUGCGAUGAUCUGAUAGGCCCCAUAUAGGUGUCUGGAUUGUAAUAGGUAUUUUUCUGGGUUAAGAAGGAAGAAUGUUUCGGGUGUUCAUUAAGAUUAUUCUUGAUUGGUGAACUGC
This is a long non-coding RNA of Triticum urartu, 1942 nucleotides long. RefSeq lists it as uncharacterized. The record is from RefSeq and is a predicted model, not a curated record. NCBI's taxonomy places the organism in Eukaryota, Viridiplantae, Streptophyta, Magnoliopsida, Poales, Poaceae.